GGCCGGGGGAACCGGCCAGGCCCGGAAGGGAGCAACCGUGCCCGGUC
This 47-nucleotide unclassified non-coding RNA is filed under the name Saccharolobus solfataricus. RNAcentral's name for it is "7S RNA from Saccharolobus solfataricus (PDB 1QZW, chain D)". Lineage: Archaea; Thermoproteati; Thermoproteota; Thermoprotei; Sulfolobales; Sulfolobaceae. The record is from RNAcentral.